CAGAGUAGGUAUUGUGCGUCAAGUGCCAUGUGUACGGGAUGUUGACCAUGGACGAAAGAAUCUUAAAGAACGGAUUCUGCGAUGCAAUAUCGCUUCCGCUGC
Molecule: non-coding RNA, 102 nt
Filed under: bovine gut metagenome
Description: THF riboswitch
Rfam family: THF (Tetrahydrofolate) riboswitch aptamer
About the family: THF riboswitch presents a pseudoknot that joins P1-P2 and the loop of P3 and two THF binding.
Source: RNAcentral